RNA transcript from Andrographis paniculata, 1878 nucleotides. It is a transcript of the gene named DNA repair protein recA homolog 3, mitochondrial-like, with no coding region annotated. The record is from RefSeq and is a predicted model, not a curated record. Lineage: Eukaryota; Viridiplantae; Streptophyta; Magnoliopsida; Lamiales; Acanthaceae. The transcript is spliced from 9 exons.
AAAACUCCAACACUAGAAUGGAGGGAAACCCUAGCGCUCCCCGUCACCCGACUCUUUCCUUUCCCCAUUCACUUUCACCUACAGAUGGAGCGAGCGGCAAUCUACUCAUGACCCGCCACAGAAAUGCCCCACCGGAGAGAUUUCUACUUUUGUAGGGUUUUGUUUUGCUACCUCAGUUCUGAACAUUGAAACCAUUACUGCCACAAGGGGAGCUUUUUAGUAAUUUAUUCGUUUCGGGGUUGGAAUUUACGAUGGCGAGGUUACUAGGCAGAUCUUCUAUUAGACGCUCUCUGUUUAGGAACCUGCAGGAGUCUAGGGAGAGUUUCUUGGAAACACAGGUGCAGCAGCUAUGUAGCUUUUCCACAAAAGGUCGAAAGAAAUCAAAGUCACCGUCUAGUGAUUCUGGGGAAGAAAACAUGUCCAAGAAAGACUUAUCCUUGAAGUUAGCUAUGGAUCAGAUCCAAGCAUCAUUUGGACAAGAAUCCUUAAUGUGGCUUGGCCGCCAAUCUUCCUCUUCAGAGAAGGCUCCAGUAAUAUCUACUGGAUCAUUUGCUUUGGAUAUUGCCUUGGGAAUAGGAGGUUUUCCAAAGGGUCGUGUUGUGGAGAUAUAUGGACCAGAGGCUUCUGGGAAGACCACUAUUUCGUUGCAUGUGAUUGCUGAGGCACAAAAGCAAGGAGGUUACUGUGCCUUUGUUGAUGCUGAGCACUCUCUCGAUCCAGCUUUAGCUGAGUCUAUUGGAGUGAACACCAAAAACUUGCUUGUGUCACAACCAGAUUGUGGUGAGCAAGCUCUAAGUUUGGUGGAUACCCUAAUCCGAAGUGGCUCACUUGACGUUAUUGUGGUAGAUAGUGUAGCUGCUCUGGUUCCAAAGGGCGAGCUUGAUGGAGAAAUGGGAGAUGCUCACAUGGCGAUGCAAGCUAGACUUAUGAGCCAGGCACUGCGCAAACUGACCCAUUCUCUGUCCCUUUCACAAACAAUAUUAAUAUUUACCAAUCAGGUGCGAGCUACAAUAUCCACUUUUGGAGGAUUUGGCGGCCCCUCCGAAGUUACUUGUGGUGGGAAUGCAUUGAAAUUCUACGCUUCGUUACGACUAAAUGUUAGGAGAAUUGGACAGGUCAAGAAAGGAGAGGAGGUUAUUGGAAACCGAGUUAUGGUUAAGAUAAUGAAGAACAAGCAUGCACCUCCUUACAAAACUGCCGAGUUUGAGCUGGAAUUUGGGAAGGGUAUCAGUCGAGAGGUCGAGCUUAUAGUUUUGGGAUGCAAAUACAAGUUCAUCAGGCAAGCUGCCUCGUUCUUUUAUAUGAAUGAUCAGACUUUCCGAGGCAAGGAUGCUCUGAAGAACUUCCUUGCCGAAAACACAAGUGCAAGAUUAGAACUGGAGAAAAAGAUAAAAGACAAGCUUGUUUCAGCUGUCGACGAGACUGCUACUCCAUCCGAAUCUAUUGAUCAAGAAGCUGUUGAGGCCACAGCAUGAGUGUGUGAAUGAAAAUGCUCUGAAGAAGGGCCACCCUUUCACCAGUUUUUUCGGGCUUCUUCCUUCCUAUGCAGCCAGCUGUUGGUGGUUGUGUCAUUGACAAAUGGUGAUGGUGAUGGAGAUGGAGAAAGGUCGUGGAAGACGACGAUUUAUGGGACGAAUGAAAAGUCCCAUGUUCUUUGCAAAGUCGGAAUCCAUCCAAAAGUGACUGACACGCACGCGCCAGCCAUUGUUCUUGUUCUUUACUUAUUCAGGGUAGAAAGAAGACUCAAAAGAAGUUUCCUCAUCUGUUUGGAAUGGUAGUCCAGACGUAGAAUAUCUAUUUUAUUUUUUUUAUUUUUUAUUUUUUUAAGUAUACAUAAAUAUAUUUAUUUAUAUCAAUACUUUCACGUUAAUUUUAUAC